AAGGGGUACUAUCUUGCAGAUGAUAUAUACCCUCCUUGGUGCAUAUUUGUCAAAAGCAUCAAAGAACCCAAAACAAAAAAACAAUGUGAAUUUGCAAGGGUGCAAGAGGCAGCCCGAAAAGACAUUGAAAGAGCAUUCGGUGUUUUGCAAUGUAGGUUUGCCAUUGUCCGUGGUCCUGCUCGUUUUUGGGAUAAGAAAACCUUGAAGACCAUCAUGACAUGCUGUGUUAUCCUGCACAAUAUGAUUCUUGAAGAUGAGAGAGGAUUGAACUUAGAAUUCUUUUACGACAAUGUGGGUAGCCGUGUCAAACCAGCUAGAGACCCAAACCGCAUUAGAGCUUUUCUUCAGACAUACAAGGAGAUUGAAAAUGCAGACAUCCACUUUCAACUUCAGGAAGAUCUCAUUGAGCACCAU
RNAcentral lists this ribosomal RNA (414 nucleotides) under Triticum aestivum (bread wheat). RNAcentral's name for it is "partial small subunit ribosomal RNA". Lineage: Eukaryota; Viridiplantae; Streptophyta; Magnoliopsida; Poales; Poaceae. The record is from RNAcentral.